This is a long non-coding RNA of Macaca fascicularis (crab-eating macaque), 1925 nucleotides long. NCBI's taxonomy places the organism in Eukaryota, Metazoa, Chordata, Mammalia, Primates, Cercopithecidae. The record is from Ensembl.
UAUUGUGCAUUUCUGUUUUAUGUAGAUAAUAAAAUAUUACUUUAACAUAAAUAUAUAAGGAUCUCUGCGUUUUUAUUUUCCCCACAAGCACAACCAAAUGUACCAAAAACAAAGUAUUUUUUAAGAGACUGAACAAAAAAAUUACAUCCCAUAUAGAUUUUGCUCACCUAUUCAUUUAAAGCUACAGAAAAACAGUUUCCAGAACCUUUUUGCUUCAAAAGAAAUAAAUAUACAUUGAGGCAGGCCACUUAAAAAUGAUAUGAAAAUAUUUCCCUGGGUAGCAUUAAAAAAAAGAAAAAUAGACAAAGAAACAUUUAAACUAUUUCUGCAUUUCAAAAGACAGAUAUUAAACAUAUAUACAUAGUGGUAAGGUUCAGUGGUAACUUUCAUCUUAGUAAACCUAUAAGAGUCAGAGAAGCUGUAGAUACAUCCUCUGAACUCCAGCUUCUGACCUUACCUACUUGGUAAUAAGUAUCUGAAAAUUCAUUUCCUCCCUUCACCAGUGGCUAUUUGCCCUGCUCUGGAUAGCUUCACUAAAGGCCAGUCCCCAUACCUCAGGAACGAGCAGCGUGAUGUACCCGAAGCAGCUCCGUGCCCAUCUCCUUGUGACAUUCAUUGGGGGAAAUGAAAUACAGGCAAAUAAAUAUGCCCAUUAUAAGUCACCAUUUAUCUUGCAAAAACAUUGAAAAUGAAACAAUCACAGGUGUUUGAAAAGACAAUAUAAAGCAUAUUUCCUAAAACCUUAAAGACUAAUGAGUGCAAUGCUAAUCUGAUGCUGAACCAUAAUUUUAUGGUAGUGAGACUUUCAUUUUUUAAAAUAAAAAUUUAUCUAAUACCUAACUGGAAAAAAAAACCCCAAACUUUUAAGAUUAAUAAAAAGUGUUUUCCCUUUUAGCGCCCUUUUGUGCUGAUUUUUCUUUUAAAUUUUAACUGAUCACAGUUUAAUGGUAUUUAUUUUCAAUACAGUUACAAGUUUUUUCACCUACACUUUCCAGUAGAGUCUUUUGUGUUUGGAGUUAACCGUUUUCCAUCAAGAUAAGGUCAAAAAUGCACUUAAAACUAUUAACAAAGGGGAGAAAGGAAGGAUUGAAAAUGGCAUUUUUUCCCCCUUCAUUUGCCUUCCUUAGUGAAAGAGGGGGGAGAAAGCUGUCCAAGUCAAAGUGGUAUAUUCUGCAAUAAAUUACAGGAAAAGAGGGCGUGGGACCCUAAAUAUGACUUGACAAACAAAUGAGCUAGUGAAGACAAAACCUGUCUACUGCGUGGAGAUCGUCUAUGUAUGCUGUGGGUAUUUGUGUGCUAAAAAACACAGCCUUAUGCAUACACUAUUAAGUUCUUGGGUCCUUUUUUAUGUAAAAAAAAAAAAAAAAGCUUAUUAGAGAAACAAAGUUUAACUGCUGCUGUCAGCAUAAAGAAUUCUUCAUAAUUGUUACUAAAACUGAAGGUAGAGAACUAUAUAGGGAUAUCUGAAGAUAUAUACUUCCCUAGUUCUCUUCAAAGUGCCACUUUCUUUCUGCUGGACAACUCUGGAAAUAUAUUUAACCUCCACAUUUCCUCUGAGCUCUUUCACAAUGGGCCCGCCUGAUAAAAUGAAGCAAUCAGUCACUCACUAUCGAUUUUUCUUUUUCUUCCCUCCAUAACCUCCCCCAGAAACACUGCCUGAAAAUGAAGUUUACUUUGUGGCUCGUAUCAACAACCAAUGCUUAUUUUUAUAUUGCAAACUGGAUUCUUGCCUUGGAUAAAGCGGGUAGACCACGCACAUUUCCUGAAAGCAGAGAAUUGUCUAUUUUGUAUGAAGCCAAUCGUUUUGCUUUGGUAAGAGGAACAAAUAGAUGUUACACCCUUGUAAGGGGAAUCUGAAGGUAACCAAAGUUCACAAACAGUACGAAUAAGGGGCAACACAAGAACAUUAGAAAUGGAGAGAGGCC